RNAcentral lists this ribosomal RNA (353 nucleotides) under uncultured bacterium. RNAcentral describes it as "bacterial SSU rRNA". It matches the Rfam family "Bacterial small subunit ribosomal RNA", at positions 1 to 334 of the family's 1533-position model. The record is from RNAcentral.
CUGUACAGUUCAGAGUUUGAUCCUGGCUCAGGAUGAACGCUGGCGGCGUGCCUAACACAUGCAAGUCGAACGAAGCACUCUUGUUGAUCCUUCGGGUGAUACUUUAGUGACUGAGUGGCGGACGGGUGAGUAACGCGUGGGUAACCUGCCCUGUACAGGGGGAUAACAGUCAGAAAUGACUGCUAAUACCGCAUAGGCGCACGAAGGGACAUCCCUUUGUGUGAAAAACUCCGGUGGUACAGGAUGGGCCCGCGUCUGAUUAGCUUGUUGGCGGGGUAAAGGCCCACCAAGGCGACGAUCAGUAGCCGGUCUGAGAAGAUGAACGGCCACAUUGGAACUGAGACACGGUCCAA